CGCACUAGUGAUUAGAGUUUGAUCAUGGCUCAGAGCGAACGCUGGCGUUAGGCUUAACACAUGCAAGUCGAGCGGGCGUAGCAAUACGUCAGCGGCAGACGGGUGAGUAACGCGUGGGAACGUACCUUUUGGUUCGGAACAACACAGGGAAACUUGUGCUUAUACCGGAUAAGCCCUUACGGGGAAAGAUUUAUCGCCGAAAGAUCGGCCCGCGUCUGAUUAGCUAGUUGGUGAGGUAACGGCUCACCAAGGCGACGAUCAGUAGCUGGUCUGAGAGGAUGAUCAGCCACAUUGGGACUGAGACACGGCCCAAACUCCUACGGGAGGCAGCAGUGGGGAAUAUUGGACAAUGGGCGCAAGCCUGAUCCAGCCAUGCCGCGUGAGUGAUGAAGGCCCUAGGGUUGUAAAGCUCUUUUGUGCGGAAAGAUAAUGACGGUACCGCAAGAAUAAGCCCCGGCUAACUUCGUGCCAGCAGCCGCGGUA
RNAcentral lists this ribosomal RNA (483 nucleotides) under uncultured bacterium. RNAcentral describes it as "bacterial SSU rRNA". It matches the Rfam family "Bacterial small subunit ribosomal RNA", at positions 1 to 522 of the family's 1533-position model. The record is from RNAcentral.